Lolium rigidum is the source of this 1651-nucleotide long non-coding RNA. RefSeq lists it as uncharacterized. Lineage: Eukaryota; Viridiplantae; Streptophyta; Magnoliopsida; Poales; Poaceae. The transcript is spliced from 8 exons. The record is from RefSeq and is a predicted model, not a curated record.
CCUUCUAAGGAGUUGCUUUCUGGAUUUGCUCGCUGCUCUAUGAAUCUAUUAUUUUAAGAAAUGAUGCCGGCCGCUCCUCCCCUCCGUCGUCCCUCUUCACCUGCUGGGUCCUCGCGGCUGGACGUCGUGGCCGUACUGGUGGAGCCGUCCAGCGGCGUCGCCGGCGCCGUGAUGUUGACCACUGCAGCAGCCUGAGAAGAGAGGCCGGAUGCACUGGUGAUGGUCGCCACUCUCCGGCUGCAGGCGAGGCGACAUGCUGCUGCACUCCACCUCCCCAACGAGCUGCUGCCCGUGAGGUUCAAAUCAUGUCGGGGGAGGAGGAGCCCAAGGGCGCGAGGUGUGGUUACCGGGAGACCGCCUCGUGUGGUGUUCCGGUGUUUGUGGUGCCCUCCGGUGGUGAUGUCCACCGGAGCUCCUGACGGCAACGGUGAUGCCAUGAACGGGCUGCUGCUGGUUGAACCGCUGCCACGACAAGGAGGAUCAAGCUCAUCUCCUGAAGUCAGUUGUGCCUGUAGAGCCAUGUAUAGCUGCUGCUUGUUCUUCCUAUAAAUGUCCCAAGACUACCCGGCCAACCAGGGCACCCAAAAGGGGCAAAAAGAUCUGGUUCGUUCGUUCCACCCUGUACAAGUAUAAGGAAACUUAAAUUAUAUCGAGAGGUUUAUAGGUUGGAUGCGCACUGACUUCUGAAACUCAUUAAUCUAGACACCUUGGUUCUGGAGCUUUUGUGAUGAAUGACAAAUGAGGUUUUGAUCGUUCGAUCAUGCUGGUAGUAGGCCAUUGCCCCUUCAAGCCAGCAAGAUGCUUGUUGUACGUCGAUGAAUAAGGGCGUCCAUCCAAGAUACUAAGGACUGCCCUCUUGUUUCUAUCCUUAAAAGCUGCUGCGCUACCCGGCCAACCGAGGCCUCCCAAGGGGCACAUUGAUCUGGCUCGUUCGUUUUGCCCAACGACAGUAAAUUCGUUCCCCACUUUUCAUCACAACCGCUCAAUACGUUAAAAAAAAAAAUUAACCCGCUACUGCUCAUUUUGAGCCCCUGUAUGAUGGGCCCGUGGGCGUGCGGGGCAGCCAGCCAGAGACAGCGACACCAGCGACACCAGCUCGCUCACGUCGCCUUCCUUUCUGUGUGCGCGUGGGGGCAGGAGGUGGUGAAAACCUAGAUCGGCGCGGAGGGUGGCGGCAGCGCACCGCCUUGCGCCGCCUCUCCCCGAGAUGGAGCCAUUCGGGGAUGGCCAUGGUGGUAAGCUGGAGGAGGCGAUACGGGAGGAGGAGGGUGCGGACCUUUUUCCCCAACGCAUGCAGUGGCGCCCGAGCAACGGGGGCGUUGACGCCGGCGGCUGGACGCGGCAGCGUUGGGGACGGACGAUGCAUCAACGCGGAGCAGCAGCAUGCUCUGGAUGCGAGCUCGUCCGUUUCCUGUGACGCCAUGCAGCUGCUGGCCAAGCAGGGCAAUUUGUGAGAUGACUGAAUGCUCCUGGAAGAAAACGAGGACAAUAGCAUCACUCCCACAUGUGAACUCCAUGCUCAUCGCUUGUUAAUUUCCUCGAGAAAAUGAUGAGAUGCAUGUUGUUCAACUUGUGUAGAUUUCUCUGAAAAUAUAUGGAGAAGUUAAAUAUGACGAGGAUUCUGAUCAGAUAUGUGAGGGCUUUGGUUGCA